AAUCAUGUCAGGGAAACAGUUAGGAACCAUGUACAGUAUUGCACACUUAAAACCAGUAAAAGAGCCACCAACAUUAGCUGCUGAAAGCACAUCAGAGGGAAAAAUUGGAACUGAAAUUGGAGUUGGUGACACUGAACCAGAAACACCCACGGAAGAGAUUAGAAGAGUGGAUGGCACUAUAUCUCACGACAGCAAAGUGGAAAACAUAGAGGUCACAGCAAUGGAAAAAGAGGAAUAUAUAGGGCAAGAUGUGUCAAACAAUGAUACAAGUGAUGCUGAUGACAAUUUUGAUGACAUGCUUACGGAGGAAGUGGAAGACAAGCAAUAGCUUCUGAAAGUCAAAUUGGUAAUGACCAGCAAACACACAGAGGGACUGGAGGCCAAAGUGAGAAACGUAAAAUUGUAUGGCUCUUCAUUUCAUUGCCUGAAGCCGAGAAGCUGGAUAAGUGAUGAGGUACAUUUAAGUUCCACUAAACAUGUAUUUGUUGAUGUGAUUGAUUACUCAAAUACCAUUGUAAUUGUGCUUUUCUUCCAUCAUGUGUUGUAGGUUAUUGAUGAAUAUUUGAGCUGUGUAGUUGAGAAAGCAGACGGAAAGGUAGGCUAGUUACUGUGAUACAUGACACAAUACACUGAUGCGCUAAGUAAACAAUCAUGGGAAUAUGUGUCACAAUAUAUUUCAGUCCAAAUACCCUUGAAAUAUCAACAGACACCUGAAAUGUCAACAUUUCUGUGUAUUUACUGCUGCCAAACAUUUCCUAAAAUGUAUUUGGAGGUGCAUAUCGGACAUACAAUAGAGGGCCACAUUAGUUCUGCUGUACAGUUCAGUGGGUCCAUUAAUUGAACACAAGUAUGCGAACAGCUUAGUCACUUUUUAAAGGCAGUAAGACAGAGCACAUUGAUUACAAAUCAUUUUGUUUUUAUAAGAUUUUCUUACAUAUACGUAUCUGAUUUGUAACACUAAGGAUCCGUUUCAUGUCUGUCUAUAUUAAAAUCAUUAUGUUCUUGACGUGCCACAAUUAUUAAUGCAUUAAUAGCUUUGUUGACUGUCAACAGGUACAAGCCAUCUCAUCAGUAGUUUCCACUGUCAUUCUCUCAGGCAGAGCUACACAAAUGAAAGUGAAGGUAAAUGUUAACACGCUUUCAUACAUAAAAUGAGAAAAGAACAAUUUCAGUCAGUGAGUUAAACACAGUGUGAAACAGCAAAUACAAUGACAUGUUUGAUGUGGGGGAGUAGUCUAACAGUAAUACAUGUAAUGAAUUUGGGAAAUACGGUAUAAUGUAUAUUUCAUGGUUUGCUGCACUGAAAACUAUAAUUACAUUUCUAAUUUUUUUUAAAUAAAUACAGAGUGAAUUACUUCAAAAUGAUAUAUUAUUGCUUCCUUACCACACACCAGGUCAUUGGGUUCUUGCGAUAGCCUUGAUGGAAAAAAAAAAAAAAAGGAAUUGUUAAUAAUUGACCCCUUGUGCGAUGAGAUCAGAUAUGAAAGAACAUGCCUGAGGAAUUGGAGAAACUUCAUCAAACGAUUAACUAGUGAAUCCUCAUCUGAUUGGAACAGUAAAAUUGUGCAGCAUCCCAGACAGUGACGGCUACA
Chelonoidis abingdonii (Abingdon island giant tortoise) is the source of this 1592-nucleotide non-coding RNA. The record is from RefSeq and is a predicted model, not a curated record. NCBI's taxonomy places the organism in Eukaryota, Metazoa, Chordata, Testudines, Testudinidae.